RNA transcript from Dendroctonus ponderosae (mountain pine beetle), 6514 nucleotides. It is a transcript of the gene named tyrosine-protein phosphatase 10D, with no coding region annotated. NCBI's taxonomy places the organism in Eukaryota, Metazoa, Arthropoda, Insecta, Coleoptera, Curculionidae. The transcript is spliced from 33 exons. The record is from RefSeq and is a predicted model, not a curated record.
UUCUCUGAUUGGUUGACCAGAUGGAUCAUCUGGAAGCGCGAUGGCGGUAGUGUGGAGUGUCGUUCGUAAAAAGUAAACAAAAAUUACGAACAGCUGAAAAGAGCAACAAUUUGUUGUGAAUUUGAGUUCGUCACCGUAAUGUCCGUUGUGUGUUUUGUGCUGCUUUUUGUCUACCAGAAUUGUCAAAUUCGUCUUUGAUUUCGCUUGUCCGUCUACAUCCUGUCCGAGUACCUCAAGAUUUUCAUUACCAUGACCGGGUUUACCUGCUUUUUGUUUGUCGUUGUUUUCACUGCUUAUAUUAAGGUGGCGUCUGCUGCAGAACUUGUGAUCCACAUUCCAGGCAGUUUAGGCCAGGAGGGAGUGGUUUAUCGUCUCGAUUACUAUCCGCCCUUCGGAUAUCCAGCUCCCAACACCACGAUCGCAUCCAAAGAUAUCCGAGAUGUCAUCAAAUUUUCACAAGCUCUUCCCGGAACGAAGUACGACUUUUGGUUGUAUUAUUCAAACGCCACUCACAAUACCCUCACUUGGACAGCCAACUUUACAACAGUUCCGGAUCCACCAUCAGGGCUAUCCGUUUUUGUAAAAGGAGGGAAGCAAGCCUUCUUCUCAUGGUCUCCACCUUCGCAAGGCAGCUACACCAGCUUCAAGCUCAAAAUAAAUGCAUUAGUGCAUAUUCCAGCACGAAAACCAUUUGAACUGCUUCGUUUGGGGUGGGAUGGAAAAGCCAUAACAAUCGACAAUAUUGAUAACACUCAAUAUGCGCAAAAGGAUUUGGUACCGGGCGCCACGUAUCAAGUUCAAGCUUUCACGGUUUUUGAGAAUAAAGAAAGCGCCGCUUACACUUCCCGCAAUUUUACCACAAAACCGAAUACUCCAGGAAAGUUCAUUGUUUGGUUCCGGAAUGAAACAACGCUUUUAGUUCUUUGGCAGCCUCCUUAUCCAGCAGCUAUUUAUACGCAUUAUAAAGUUUCGAUUGAUCCACCAGAUGCAAAUGACUCUAUUUUGUAUGUGGAAAAAGAGGGCGAACCGCCAGGACCUGCUCAGGCAGCUUUCAAAGGACUUGUCCCAGGUCGAGCUUACAAUAUUUCUGUACAAACAAUGUCUGAAGAUGAAAUAUCCGCGCCUACGACAGCUCAAUAUCGAACGGUUCCAUUAAAACCGGGAAAAAUCAGCUUUGAUAAGGACAAAAUUACCACGAACUCGUUUGUUGUACAUUGGGAACCGCCAAUUGGCCGGAGUGAAUUUGAUAAGUAUCAAAUUUCACUUGGAACCUUAAGAAAACCACCCCCAGUUCCGAGAUCGAAGGACGAUUUGACUGAGUGGGAAUUCAAAGAUAAUUUGGAGCCAGGAAAAACGUAUUCUGUGGUUGUUAAAACAGUUUCAGGAAAAGUGACUUCGUGGCCAGUUUCAUCCGAAGUUACUUUAGAACCACUUCCUGUUAGUCAUCUUCAUUCUGUCCUGGAUGAGCAUACUGGCACCAUUACAAUUUCCUGGAAACCGAGCCCGGACAGUACACAGGACAGCUUUUUAGUGUCCUACCACGAGGUCGAAAGCACUACCGGCGAUAGCAACGUUGUUGCUACAAAUCAGUCAAAAAUUGAACUGGAAACCUUGUUGCCUGGAAGAAACUACUCCAUUACAGUGCAAGCUGUUUCGAAGGAUGUUCAGUCGAAAGAGCAAUCAAUUUACGUGGUGACAAAACCGAGCGCACCAAUUAUUGAAGAUUUAAAACCCAUGGUUGAUGGAUUAAACAUCAGCUGGAAAUCCGAUGUAAACUCAAAACAAGACAAAUACGAAAUAAUCUGGAUAAGGAACGACACUAAUGAAAGAGACGUGAGGUCCACAUAUGAAUCGAAGAUACUUCUCAGCAAUCUGUAUCCAGGCGCAGGCUAUUUGGUGAAGAUUUACGCAAUUUCGCAUGGAUUAAAAAGCGAACCGCAUGAGUACUUCCAACCAGUCUUUCCCAAACCGCCUAGGAAUAUGUCCAUUGAAAAAACCACAACCAAUUCGGUUAUUGUCCAAUGGCAGGCCCCGAUGGAUUCAUUAAUCACAGAAUAUUCCAUCAGAUACAAAACGGGAUCGGAUAAUCAAUGGAUUAGAUUGCCCGCUGUACAAAAUACUGAAGCUGAAGUAACUGAUAUGACGCCGGGAGAGAGAUAUACGAUACAAGUAAACACAGUCAGCUAUAGCUUGGAGAGCAAUGAGCCUCAGCAGCUGAAUCAUACAGUCAGGCCAAAUCCCGUGUCAAACAUUGCGCCAUUAGUUGACUCGAAUAAUGUUACUCUGGAAUGGCCCCGGCCAGAAGGAAGAGUUGAAACUUACAUUGUUAGAUGGUGGGAAAUUACAACUCCUUCGCAGGUGAACAAGAGCAUUGUGAGUCAAAGCCAAAAUGGAACCGGCCCCGUUAGGCUCUUAGUGGGUGAUCUUAUGCCCGGAGAAGAAUAUGUGUUCGAUAUUCAGGCAAUUUCAAAUGACUUGGAAAGUGAUGUGACUGUCCUGAAAACACGCACCAUGCCCCUGAUCCAAUCAGAAGUGGUGGUCGUUAACAACCAAGUAUCAACUGACUCUAUCGGUCUUCGCUAUACUCCAACGCCUCAGACAUCCUCACGAUUUGAUUUAUAUAAAUUUUCUUUAUCGGAACCAAAUAUACCCGACCAAGAGAAGACCGCAAACGACUCUGACCGAUUAGUCACUUUCAACAAUUUGAUACCAGGAAGGUUAUAUAAUAUUACUGUUUGGACCGUUUCCCAAGGAGUAGCUAGUCAACCCUUGCAAAGACAAGAUAGACUAUUUCCGGAGCCCAUAACUGGAAUCAACGCAACAUACAUAUCAGACACAGAAAUCACGUUAACUUGGGCAUUUCCAAGAGGCGAAUAUAAUGCCUUUGAGGUGCAAUACAUUAAUUCGGAUGGUGGAUUUAUUCAAAACUUGACACUCCAUAAUUCGAUUGCUAUUAAUGAACUGAAACCCCAUAGGAAUUAUACUUUUACCGUCACUGUGCGGAGUGGCACCGAGUCCAGCAUUUUACGAAGGUCGCUACCAGUAUCAGAAAGUUUCACCACAAAGGAAUCGGUUCCCGGAAAAGUGGAAAAAUUCGAACCCAUCGACAUUCAGCCAAGCGAUAUUGUCUUCGAAUGGUCUUUGCCAACCUCGGAACAGAAUGGUGUUAUUCGAAAAUUCACUAUUACCUAUGGAUUAGAGGGUUCCCCGCAUGUGCUUUUCAAGGAUUUUGCUGCUUAUGAGUUCCGGGGGACUCUCAAACAGCUUCUACCAGGGAAAACUUAUGUGUUCAAGAUCCAAGCUGAAACCAAGGUGGGUUUUGGUCCAUCCACAACUUGGAAACAACGGAUGCCCAUUAUGGCACCACCAAAACCCAGUAUGCAAGUGGUACCGACUGAAGUCUGUAAAAGUUCCACUUCCAUCCAGAUUAGGUUCAGAAAGAACUACUUUAGUGAAGCAAAUGGUCCGAUUGUUUCUUAUGCAGUCAUUGUGGCAGAAGAUGAUUCAAAGAACGCUUCAGGCUUGGAAAUGCCAAGUUGGCGCGAUGUUCAAGCUUAUUCCGUUUGGCCCCCCUAUCAAGUUAUGGAACCUUAUUAUCCAUUCUUUAAUAGUUCAGUGGAAGAUUUUACAGUUGGUGGAGACACAUGCGAUAUAAGGCAAGUUGGAUAUUGCAAUGGGCCGUUGAAGUCGGGUUCCACGUACAAAGUUAAAAUCAGAGCUUUUACUGCACCGGAUAAGUUUACAGAUACCAGUUAUAGUUUUCCGAUACAAACAGGACUGCUAAGGCUUGAAGAUCAAGACAACACUCCGAUUAUCCUGGGGGUGGUGAUUCCCAUAGUGCUGAUUUGCCUGCUCUUCGUAAUGAUCAUAUUCAUCAGAAGACGCCGAUCAGCAGGACGAAAAGGCAUGGUGGAAUCCCGGAACAAUGAUAGUACUUCAUUGCCGGAUUCCGUCAUUGAAACCAGUCGUCCUGUUCGAAUCGAGAACUUUGCUAAUCAUUAUAGGAUCAUGUCGGCUGAUUCUGACUUCAGAAAAGAGUGGACUAUGGUCACUAAGUUUAGCGAAGAGUUUGAAGAACUGAAACAUGUGGGAAGGGAUCAACCAUGCACAGCAGCCGAUUUGCCCUGCAAUAGACCCAAAAAUAGGUUUACCAAUAUUUUGCCUUACGAUCAUUCCCGGUUCAAGUUACAGCCAGUUGACGACGAAGAGGGUUCAGAUUAUGUUAAUGCUAACUAUGUACCGGGUUACAACUCUCCUAGGGAGUUUUUAGUAACGCAAGGGCCUUUACAUUCCACGCGAGACGACUUCUGGAGGAUGGUAUGGGAGUCGAAUUCUCGUGCUAUUAUUAUGUUAACAAGGUGUGUGGAAAAAGGACGAGAAAAGUGUGAUCAUUACUGGCCAUACGAUACCAUGCCAGUCUAUUACGGAGAUAUAUCCGUUCAAAUUCUUAAUGAAACAAGAUAUCCUGACUGGAAUAUUUCCGAAUUUAUGGUGUGCAGGGGUGAACAACAACGGGUAGUACGACAUUUCCACUUCAGUACUUGGCCUGAUUUUGGAGUACCGAAUCCACCUCAUACUUUAGUAAGGUUUGUGCGAGCCUUCAGAGAAAGAGUACCGCCUGAUCAAAGGCCCAUUGUAGUGCAUUGUAGUGCUGGUGUCGGCCGUUCAGGAACCUUCAUCUGCUUAGACCGGAUUUUGCAACAGAUACAAACGUCCGAUUACGUAGACAUAUUCGGUAUAGUGUACGUGAUGCGUAAAGAAAGAGUUUGGAUGGUACAAACUGAACAGCAAUACAUUUGCAUUCAUCAGUGUUUGCUAACGGUUUUAGAAGGCAAAGAAUUGACGACAUCGCCUAGAGAGAUUCACGAUAAUCAAGGAUUUGAAGAAAUGGUUUGGCGCUUAUUUAGUCAGUGUAGAAAGCUGAUGUUAUGUGGUGCAGGCGUAAGUUCAACCGACGUAAUAAAGCCUGUCGUCGAUUUACCUGAAGGGAAUGGAAAUGCGAGGUAGCUUAGGAGCUUCUCGACCGCAACUAUGGGUUUCUAUCUGUCGACGGAACGCUUUUAACUUGGUUUCUGGAUGACGAGGGCAUAGCUGAAUCCGGAAUGUGAUCAACACUUUUUUGCAGUAGGUAACUCGUAAAAGUGAUCAUAUACAAAGCCUUGUGUAUUUAAUAUAAUCUGACGUUACCUUUGAUCAUCUAUACAAUUAAGUUUUCUCAACUUAACCGUAAAACAGUAUAAUGCUUAUAACCUUUAAACAUAUAUUAAUGUGUAAUCUCGUUUUAGAUAGAUUUUUGUACUCUUGGAGCGCUAAUGUCUCAUGUCAUUUUGUUCGUGAUAUAAUAAAAUGUAAAACUUAGGUGACAAACAUUCAUCUGCGGUCUGAAUAUGACCAUAUUCUGAAGAAUGUGAUUAAAAAUAUACUCAUUUUCGAGAUUAUUUGAUGAGACACUUAGUGCCCGAUAUAGUAUAGUAAAUGUUUAAAUGCACGUAUUUCUCUUUUGUAUUAUAAUUUGUACAGUAUUGUUCACUUCAUAUGCGUAUAGUUUAAACUUAGCUAUUCGCCUAAUCACUAGUUCGUUUUAUGUAAUUAUUCAAGUUCCGUCUUACUGCAGAAUGAAGAUUCAAUUAAAACAACAUAUAAUUGAUAUUGUUGACAAAAAAUCUGAUUUGUCAAAAUAACAAAUUAUUGAUUGAUUGAAAAACGUACCCAACCCCCAGUGCCAAUUUCAAAAUAAACUUUACGCGCUUUAAGAACAUUAAUAAUUGUUUUACAAACACUAUUUUUAAUCUAGAGAUUAUUUUGAACCCUGUAGAAAAAUGUCCAUGAAUCUGAUUCAUAUUCUAAAUAUCCCGUCCAUCUAUUCCAGAUUUAAAUACGUUUGUUGCCAUUCAUUUUCAUUCCGACGAACAGUUUAAUAUUUUCCUCGGAUAAAGCUCCCAAUUAACUAACGCAUAAAACCGACUUUUUUAUAAAAAACUAAUUGACAUCAAUUAUAAAUUAUAGUGCAAUAUUUGAGAUUCUAGAAAAUGAGUUACUGAUAGUGAAACAGCAAUCUCUUAAAAACUCAUUUUUUGUGUUCAUUUAUGUCAAACAUAUCUUCCAGAUUACUAGUAUGUACUGCAAAUGCAUGCAUAUAAUGUUCCGUGUUUAUGUUGGUUAUGUUUACUUGAAAAUUUACUUACUUUUAAUAAGCUAUAAGUAAAUUUCUGUGAUAAAAACUUAAGUAGGUUUGGCUAUUUAAUAGGCAUAAGUUUUAAUUUAAUGUUAAAGACCUUUAUCUAAUUUGAGUGUUUUUAUUUUAUACUAGUAAAUGUUCAAAUCAGUUUGGUUUUUCCCGAUUAUGUUUUACACACUUUUAGUAUUAAAAAGGCUGAUACUGCUGGGUAUACCUUAAAUAUAAGUAGAACGUAUUUAGAAUCCUAACAACAUCUGUUUAAUAAUUGUACUCAGAAUAUGUACUUAAUUAUUUUUCUAUGUAUUAUCACAACUACAAAAUAUUUUAUUACUCCAA